GCUCUCGCUGUCCUCAGUGUGCCAAGGAACAGAGGCAAGCAGGUAUCUUCCGGGCAGUCUCUGGAUUUGAAUCAAGAUUUGACGUACCUUGAGGAGGUUUGUAGCCAAAGUUUGGAAAGAGCAGCACCGAAGAACUCGGCAACGUCUCAGCGUCCACGUCCCACCGGCGAUGGAUUUUGUCACCUUGUCUUCCAAAAGAUAAGUGUUGGGCCCUGUAGUUGGGGGGAGAGAAAAAACCUUUACUCUCACAGGGCGCAAUUUGAUGUUAGCUUAGCGGAGCAGUCUGUAGCGGAACAGGUCCCUUGGAAGUAAAGGGAGAGGGUUUCUCCUGAGCCUCACCAGAGCCUUUGCCGGGCAGGGCAGUUCCGACCCGUCUCCGCGUUCUCGCGAACUUUGCGUCGUCAGCCUUCUUCGACCCUCGACGUCGUCGCGGAUCCUUCUCCCGAGGAGCUCGCCUUCAGGUCCGGAGCUAUAGCCACCAUCACCCGCCAGUCUUUGCUUCCUUCUCUAGGCCCACUGAGCCUCUCGAGCAUCCUCUUAACUGCUUUGGCAGCAACUCCGUUUAAGGUGUCGUUUCAUCAAGCACUCUUGCCAUAGGGUUCGCUUUCCUUUGGCAUCUUUGGCCUCUGGCUCAUCUUGCACUAGAAAUCUUGAGUCCAUAAGGUGAAACUGCCAGGCGGUUUC
Long non-coding RNA from Onychostruthus taczanowskii (white-rumped snowfinch), 684 nucleotides. RefSeq lists it as uncharacterized. Lineage: Eukaryota; Metazoa; Chordata; Aves; Passeriformes; Passeridae. The transcript is spliced from 3 exons. The record is from RefSeq and is a predicted model, not a curated record.